UACGGGGGGUGCAAGCGUUGUCCGGAAUCAUUGGGCGUAAAGCGUUCGUAGGCGGCAAGGUAAGUCAGAUGUUAAAGCCCGGGGCUCAACUCCGGUCCGGCAUUUGAUACUAUCUAGCUAGAAUGCGGUAGAGGUAAAGGGAAUUCCUGGUGUAGCGGUGAAAUGCGUAGAUAUCAGGAGGAACAUCGGUGGCGAAAGCGCUUUACUGGGCCGUUAUUGACGCUGAGGAACGAAAGCCAGGGGAGCAAAU
RNAcentral lists this ribosomal RNA (250 nucleotides) under uncultured prokaryote. Its description in RNAcentral is "partial 16S ribosomal RNA". It matches the Rfam family "Bacterial small subunit ribosomal RNA", at positions 524 to 773 of the family's 1533-position model. The record is from RNAcentral.